This 239-nucleotide ribosomal RNA is filed under the name uncultured bacterium. RNAcentral's name for it is "partial 16S ribosomal RNA". It matches the Rfam family "Bacterial small subunit ribosomal RNA", at positions 95 to 334 of the family's 1533-position model. The record is from RNAcentral.
ACGGCGGACGGGUGAGUAACGCGUAGGCAACCUGCCCUUUGCAGAGGGAUAGCCUCGGGAAACCGGGAUUAAAACCUCAUGACACCUCUUAAAGACAUCUUUGAGAGGUCAAAGAUUUAUCGGCAGAGGAUGGGCCUGCGUCUGAUUAGCUAGUUGGUGGGGUAACGGCCUACCAAGGCGACGAUCAGUAGCCGACCUGAGAGGGUGACCGGCCACAUUGGGACUGAGACACGGCCCAA